GACGAACGCUGGCGGCGUGCCUAAUACAUGCAAGUAGAACGCUGAAGCUUGGUGCUUGCACCGAGCGGAUGAGUUGCGAACGGGUGAGUAACGCGUAGGUAACCUGCCUGGUAGCGGGGGAUAACUAUUGGAAACGAUAGCUAAUACCGCAUAACAGUAGAUAUCGCAUGAUAGCUACUUGAAAGGUGCAAAUGCACCACUACCAGAUGGACCUGCGUUGUAUUAGCUAGUUGGUGAGGUAACGGCUCACCAAGGCAACGAUACAUAGCCGACCUGAGAGGGUGAUCGGCCACACUGGGACUGAGACACGGCCCAGACUCCUACGGGAGGCAGCAGUAGGGAAUCUUCGGCAAUGGACGGAAGUCUGACCGAGCAACGCCGCGUGAGUGGAGAAGGUUUUCGGAUCGUAAAGCUCUGUUGUAAGAGAAGAACGAGUGUGAGAGUGGAAAGUUCACACUGUGACGGUAUCUUACCAGAAAGGGACGGCUAACUACGUG
RNAcentral lists this ribosomal RNA (497 nucleotides) under uncultured bacterium. RNAcentral describes it as "partial 16S ribosomal RNA". It matches the Rfam family "Bacterial small subunit ribosomal RNA", at positions 28 to 507 of the family's 1533-position model. The record is from RNAcentral.